UACAGAGGUCUCGAGCGUUAGGCGGAAUCACUGGGCUUAAAGCGUGUGUAGGUGGAUCGGUAAGUACCUUGUGAAAUCCCACGGCUUAACCGUGGAACUGCUUGGUAUACUGCCAGUCUUGAGCCAGCUAGGGGCUACCGGAACAAAUGGUGGAGCGGUGAAAUGCGUAGAUAUCGAGAGGAACACCUGCGGCGAAGGCGGGUUGCUGGGCUGACACUGACGCUGAUGCGCGAAAGCUAGGGGAGCGAACGGG
This 253-nucleotide ribosomal RNA is filed under the name uncultured bacterium. RNAcentral's name for it is "partial 16S ribosomal RNA". It matches the Rfam family "Bacterial small subunit ribosomal RNA", at positions 524 to 776 of the family's 1533-position model. The record is from RNAcentral.